This 1796-nucleotide ribosomal RNA is filed under the name Hanseniaspora uvarum. Its description in RNAcentral is "SSU rRNA". It matches the Rfam family "Eukaryotic small subunit ribosomal RNA". The record is from RNAcentral. Lineage: Eukaryota; Fungi; Ascomycota; Saccharomycetes; Saccharomycodales; Saccharomycodaceae.
UGGUUUUGAUCCUGCCCAGUAGUCAUAUGCUUGUCUCAAAGAUUAAGCCAUGCAUGUCUAAGUAUAAGCAAUUUAUACAGUGAAACUGCGAAUGGCUCAUUAAAUCAGUUAUCGUUUAUUUGAUAGUUUCUUUACUACAUGGAAUACCUGUGGUAAUUCUAGAGCUAAUACAUGCCUUAAAAUCCCAACUUACGAAGGGAUGUAUUUUAUUAGAUAAAAAAUCAAUGUCUUCGGACUUCUGAUGAUUCAUAAUAACUUUUCGAAUCGCAUGGCUUUAUGCUGGCGAUGGUUCAUUCCAAUUUCUGCCCUAUCAACUUUUGAUGGUAGGAUAGUGGCCUACCAUGGUUUCAACGGGUAACGGGGGAAUAAGUGUUCGAUUCCGGAGAGGGAGCCUGAGAAACGGCUACACAUCCAAGGAAGGCAGCAGGCGCGCAAAUUACCCAAUCCUAAUUCAGGGAGGUAUGUAGACAAUAAAUAAGCGAUAACAGGCUUUAUGUCUUGUAAUGGAAUGAGUACAAUUUAAAUACCUUAACGAGGAACAAUUGGAGGGCAAGUCUGGUGCCAGCAGCCGCGGUAAUUCCAGCUCCAAUAGCGUAUAGUAAAGUUUGUUGCAGUUAAAAAGCUCGUAGUUAACUCUUGGGCUUGGAGAAUCGGUCCAACUUUGUUGUGUACGUCUCUCCAGGUCUUUACCCUUCUGGUUCUCAUUUGGGGUUACUCCAUUUGUUGACCAGGAUUUUUACUUUGAAAAAAUUAGAGUGUUCAAAGCAGGCGUUUUGCUCGAAUAUAAUUAUCAUGGGAAUAAUAGAUAGGACGAUUGGUUCUAUUUUGUUGGUUCUAGGACCAUCGUAAUGAUAAUAGGGUACGGUCGGGGGCAUCAGUAUUCAGUGUGUCAGAGGGUGAAAUUCUUGGAUUUACUGAAGACUAACUACUCGCGAAAGCAUUUGUUCAGGACGUUUUCCUUAAAUCAAGACGAAAGUUAGGGGAUCGAAGAGGAUCAGAUACCGUCGUAGUCUUAACCAUAAACUAUGCCGACUAGGGAUCGGGCGGUGCCUUUUAUUGGCCCACUCGGCACCUUACGAGAAAAAUCAAAGUUUUGGGUUCUGGGGGGAGUAUGGUCGCAAGGCUGAAACUUAAAGGAAUUGACGGAAGGGCACCACCAGGAGUGGAGCCUGCGGCUUAAUUUUGACUCAACACGGGGAAACUCACCAGGUCCAGACACAAUAAGGAUUGACAGAUUGAGAGCUCUUUCUUGAUUUUGUGGGUGGUGGUGCAUGGGCCGUUCUUAGUUGGUGGUGAGUGAUUUGUCUGCUUAAUUGCGAUAACGAACGAGACCUUAGCCCUUAAAUAGAGUUGCUGGCAUUUGCUGGUAAAUCUUCUAUGGGGACUAUCGAUUUCAAGUCGAUGGAAGUUUGAGGCAAUAACAGGUCUGUGAUGCCCUUAGACGUUCUGGGCCGCACGCGCGCUACACUGACGGAGCCAGCGAGCUUUUCCUUAGCCGAGAGGUUUGGGGUAAUCUUGUGAAACUCCGUCGUGCUGGGGAUAGAGCAUUGUAAUUAUUGGCCUCUUCAACGAGGAAUUCCUAGUAAGCGCAAGUCAUCAGCUUGCGUUGAUUUACGUCCCUGCCCUUUGUACACACCGCCCGUCGCUAGUACCGAUUGAAUGGCUUAGUGAGGCUUCAGGAUUUGCUUAGAUCGAGGGGGCAACUCUCUUUCAGAGCGGAGAAUCUAGUCAAACUUGGUCAUUUAGAGGAAACUAAAAGUCGUAUAACAAGGUUUCCGUAGGUGAACCUGCGGAAG